CAGACGCAAAAAACACACCAGGUUGACUCCACGGAGGGUGGCCUCCUGGUACGAUUCCCCUUUUCUGUAGUUCAAUCCAAGAAAAAAUGGUCUUCUGGUGGAUGAAUAUUUGCCUGGUAACGUGGCGUAAUCGCCGGUGCAAGCUCCAAUCAGUUUAAAAAGUACUGACGAGCGACGGCUGGCCGCGUGCCUGCUCGUGGUAUAGCUCAGCGACUCAGUUUGUGCCUCGGUUCGUGGCUCGGUGUUUUCCAUCGUAGGCAAUAAUUUGAUGACAGCCCAGGACUGAUACGCGUUGGCAUCGGUGUACACGUUGUAUAGACCGAGACGGAAAACUGUAGCGAGACACGAUCUCAGUCACGGUACUUUUCCUGCACGGCGGCGGCGGAACAAGCUGCAACCCGAAAUUUCUCCUUCAUCUCAAUC
This 423-nucleotide long non-coding RNA is filed under the name Hordeum vulgare. RNAcentral describes it as "long non-coding RNA (HVUL_LNC018739)". Lineage: Eukaryota; Viridiplantae; Streptophyta; Magnoliopsida; Poales; Poaceae. The record is from RNAcentral.